RNAcentral lists this ribosomal RNA (520 nucleotides) under uncultured bacterium. RNAcentral describes it as "bacterial SSU rRNA". It matches the Rfam family "Bacterial small subunit ribosomal RNA", at positions 8 to 518 of the family's 1533-position model. The record is from RNAcentral.
AGAGUUUGAUUAUGGCUCAGGACGAACGCUGGCGGCGUGCCUAACACAUGCAAGUCGAGCGGGGACAUGCGACGGAUAGGAAGAUUCGGUUGGAAUGAAGAUGCAUGUCUAGCGGCGGACGGGUGAGUAACGCGUGAGCAACCUGUCCCUUACAGGGGGAUAACACAGCGAAAGUUGUACUAAUACCGCAUGAGACCACGGGAGGACAUCCUCCAGGGGUCAAAGGAGGAAUCCGGUAAGGGGUGGGCUCGCGUCCGAUUAGAUAGUUGGUGAGGUAACGGCCCACCAAGUCGACGAUCGGUAGCCGACCUGAGAGGGUGAUCGGCCACAUUGGGACUGAGACACGGCCCAAACUCCUACGGGAGGCAGCAGUGGGGAAUAUUGGGCAAUGGGGGAAACCCUGACCCAGCAACGCCGCGUGAGGGAAGAAGGUUUUCGGAUCGUAAACCUCUGUCCUUGGUGAAGAGGAAGAGACGGUAGCCAAGGAGGAAGCCCCGGCUAACUACGUGCCAGCCGCGGC